GGUUUGUGUUUAUCUGCGUCAAAAGGAUUAGUGAUUAUUCAGAUGUGUGUCCCUCCCCGGCCUGGGAACUGUUACCCCGCCACUCUGUAGACACCAGCAGUCCCCGUUUCCCCCUACAGGGCCACAGAGGUGAGAGGGAGCAGACAGGCUGUAGGACGUGUGAAUCUGAAGGGGUUCACAUGGAACACCGCCUCCCCUCAAAUAGACGUCUGGGACAGUCUGGGUUCUGCACUCCCAGACAGGGAGCCCUUCCAUCCAUCAGAUGCUGCCCAACCCCGUCCCCCCUUCCCCUUGACCUUGACUCUCUGUCACCGUGGCCCUCCAGACAGUCUGGGGUCAAAGGGUAACACAGCAGGCACACAUCAGACACGGUUCAAGUCCCCUGUGUCCAUGUGAAUGCCGAAUGGUAAAUCACCCUAAAAAAAAUCAGCCUGUUGGAAUGUGACUUUGAAUUCCUGCAGCGAUGUACGCAGACACCUCAAGGACACCGUUGUUGUGACAAUGUGAAGCCCCUGGAAAACAAACGGAAUAUGGAUUCCAACAAAAAAUUGUAUUUUAAAAAAGGCCAACUGGCAGAGUGUGAAGCUGUGAUGAGCCACGUGUGAGCAUGCGCAGAGCGCUGAAAGAGUCUCAAAUGGGCUCGUCUCUCACAUGCUGUCACUCUCUCUUUCCCCUCCAUCUCUGAACUCUUUUAAACGUGCAUCACUGUUUCUUUUACCAAAACGAAUAUCGUUAUCGUCUAAUUCAGAGCCGUCCUCAUCUCCCCUCUAAUCUGAAUUAAAUUUGUAAAACAGCGUAUUUCUUUGGGAGAUAUUUGACAUUCUGAUAAGCUAAUUUAAAGUCGGGACGCAAACCACAGUGUUGGUGUUUGUGGGCGCAGGACCAGUACAGGAGGACAAACAAAAACACUGUUUAUGUCACAUUGAGGGCUGUUCUCUCAUUAUAGACGUGGACGAGCAAAGUGACACACACACACACACACACACACACACACACACACAGCUUCCUCUCCUCACUCACACGUCAGGUUAUUUAUCAGUGGACAAACAAGUAGAUCGCCUUUGUUGUUUGAGAUACAUUCGGGUUGCUGCUCAAAACCAUCAUCAGUUUUUCAAUGAAGCCUCACACACACCCACUGAUAUAGAUGGCGUUGUGAAUGCAGUUAUGUUAGCACUUUGAAUUUGAAAUACUUUUAGUAGAUAUAAAGUUAAAGCACAACCUUAUAUUGCAUUCGUUAAUACAAUUGAUAAAUAAGAGAUUGAGUACACUUAUUUUAAUUGCUAAUGCGGUUAUUGUGUUUUUUUAUUCACCUGUGUUAAUUUAAUUCAGCUCGUCGUUUAUAUACCACUGAGAGUGUCAUGGACAACAUGUUGGUACAAGGCUACAUCGGAUUUAAGUUCGUUUCACGAAAAAAAAAAUUCAGAAAAUAAGUCAGUAAAAAUAAUUAGUUAUUUUCUCUUUUUUAAAAACGGUUAUAAUUUCCGUUUGUAAACUACAAGCAGUACACUGUUGCUGUGUUAUUCACGGAGGGAAAUAAUAUCAAGUUCCUCUGCAUUUUGCAUCCUCGAAAGUCUCGUUAUAAAUCAAAAUAAAUCGAUUGCUUUUCAAUUAAUAAGAAUCGAACAUCAUCGCAUGGCGAGCCGUCACAAUAUGAACAAAAAUAAAUAAAUCGCCCCCCAUCAGGACCCGAGCGGACAAUCAUUAAGGUGACGACAGAUGAAAUAAGCUCGUGCGCUGAGAGGAACACGGUGCGUCCCAGCGGUCCUCCAAUAACUGCGUUACGGGCGGCGCUGAUGGAGUUACGCACCAAUCAGGGGGGAAGG
Gasterosteus aculeatus aculeatus (three-spined stickleback) is the source of this 1823-nucleotide long non-coding RNA. NCBI's taxonomy places the organism in Eukaryota, Metazoa, Chordata, Actinopteri, Perciformes, Gasterosteidae. The record is from Ensembl.